This 84-nucleotide transfer RNA is filed under the name Nemania sp. NC0429. Its description in RNAcentral is "tRNA-Lys". The stretch from base 1 to 55 matches the Rfam family "tRNA". Rfam says of the family: Transfer RNA (tRNA) molecules are approximately 80 nucleotides in length. Their secondary structure includes four short double-helical elements and three loops (D, anti-codon, and T loops). Further hydrogen bonds mediate the characteristic L-shaped molecular structure. tRNAs have two regions of fundamental functional importance: the anti-codon, which is responsible for specific mRNA codon recognition, and the 3' end, to which the tRNAs corresponding amino acid is attached (by aminoacyl-tRNA synthetases). tRNAs cope with the degeneracy of the genetic code in two manners: having more than one tRNA (with a specific anti-codon) for a particular amino acid; and 'wobble' base-pairing, i.e. permitting non-standard base-pairing at the 3rd anti-codon position. Lineage: Eukaryota; Fungi; Ascomycota; Sordariomycetes; Xylariales; Xylariaceae. The record is from RNAcentral.
GCCCGGUUAGCUCAAUCGGUAGAGCGUGAGACUCUUAAUCUCAAGGUUGCGGGUAAGUUGCGCGUUCGACGCACGAAACGAGCG